This 253-nucleotide ribosomal RNA is filed under the name uncultured bacterium. Its description in RNAcentral is "partial 16S ribosomal RNA". It matches the Rfam family "Bacterial small subunit ribosomal RNA", at positions 524 to 776 of the family's 1533-position model. The record is from RNAcentral.
UACGAAGGGGGCUAGCGUUGCUCGGAAUCACUGGGCGUAAAGCGCACGUAGGCGGCUUGUUAAGUCAGGGGUGAAAUCCUGGAGCUCAACUCCAGAACUGCCUUUGAUACUGGCGAGCUUGAGUCCGGGAGAGGUGAGUGGAACUGCGAGUGUAGAGGUGAAAUUCGCAGAUAUUCGCAAGAACACCAGUGGCGAAGGCGGCUCACUGGCCCGGUACUGACGCUGAGGUGCGAAAGCGUGGGGAGCAAACAGG